RNAcentral lists this ribosomal RNA (408 nucleotides) under uncultured microorganism. RNAcentral's name for it is "bacterial SSU rRNA". It matches the Rfam family "Bacterial small subunit ribosomal RNA", at positions 509 to 917 of the family's 1533-position model. The record is from RNAcentral.
CAGCAGCCGCGGUAAUACGUAGGGUGCAAGCGUUCAUCGGAAUUACUGGGCGUAAAGCGUGCGCAGGCGGUUCGGAAAGAAAGAUGUGAAAUCCCAGAGCUUAACUUUGGAACUGCAUUUUUAACUACCGGGCUAGAGUGUGUCAGAGGGAGGUGGAAUUCCGCGUGUAGCAGUGAAAUGCGUAGAUAUGCGGAGGAACACCGAUGGCGAAGGCAGCCUCCUGGGAUAACACUGACACUCAUGCACGAAAGCGUGGGGAGCAAACAGGAUUAGAUACCCUGGUAGUCCACGCCCUAAACGAUGUCAACUAGCUGUUGGGGCCUUCGGGCCUUGGUAGCGCAGCUAACGCGUGAAGUUGACCGCCUGGGGAGUACGGUCGCAAGAUUAAAACUUAAAGGAAUUGGCGGG